AACGCAAAUUGCGCUCUUGGGUAGCCCUAGGAGCACGCCUCUCUCAGUAUCGGUUCAACAAUCUCUCAGCAGCGUGAUUGCAAAAUUGCGUGUUGGCUGGAUAAUGAGAGUCUGUUUUGUUUUCAUUUACGAACAGUCUCUUUAAGUACAUGGAGUAAAUAAUUUGCUAACGAUCAGCUCUGCUUUUACGAGCAGAUAGUCUAUUUUUGACUGUUGUUCGAUAGUGAUGUGAAUACUGGCCUUUACUGGUCUCAUUUUACAUCUUAUCUACUCGUGACAAUACCUAAAGUUGAGGAUGGGUGAACGUUCGAUCUAGUAUUAUUUGCGUGAGAAAACCAUAUGGUUUUUCUUCGGAAAAGCCUGAAUUUUGAUCUGAGAUGAAGCGAGACAACCCCCUGAAUUUAA
Molecule: unclassified non-coding RNA, 405 nt
Filed under: uncultured fungus
Lineage: Eukaryota; Fungi
Description: partial contains ITS1, 5.8S rRNA and ITS2
Source: RNAcentral